Molecule: transfer RNA, 73 nt
Filed under: Saccoglossus kowalevskii
Lineage: Eukaryota; Metazoa; Hemichordata; Enteropneusta; Harrimaniidae
Description: tRNA-Val
Rfam family: tRNA
About the family: Transfer RNA (tRNA) molecules are approximately 80 nucleotides in length. Their secondary structure includes four short double-helical elements and three loops (D, anti-codon, and T loops). Further hydrogen bonds mediate the characteristic L-shaped molecular structure. tRNAs have two regions of fundamental functional importance: the anti-codon, which is responsible for specific mRNA codon recognition, and the 3' end, to which the tRNAs corresponding amino acid is attached (by aminoacyl-tRNA synthetases). tRNAs cope with the degeneracy of the genetic code in two manners: having more than one tRNA (with a specific anti-codon) for a particular amino acid; and 'wobble' base-pairing, i.e. permitting non-standard base-pairing at the 3rd anti-codon position.
Source: RNAcentral
GUUUUCGUAGUGUAGUGGUUAUCACGUUUCGCCUCACACGCGAAGGCCCCCGGUUCGAACCCGGGCGAAAACA